Molecule: ribosomal RNA, 261 nt
Filed under: uncultured bacterium
Lineage: Bacteria
Description: partial 16S ribosomal RNA
Rfam family: Bacterial small subunit ribosomal RNA
Source: RNAcentral
GUCCUAGCCGUAAACGUUGGAUACUAGGUGUGGGGGGACAUCGACCCCUUCUGCGCCGAAGCUAACGCAUUAAGUAUCCCGCCUGGGGAGUACGGCCGCAAGGCUAAAACUCAAAGGAAUUGACGGGGGCCCGCACAAGCGGCGGAGCAUGUGGCUUAAUUCGACGCAACGCGAAGAACCUUACCUGGACUUGACAUGCAGGGUGAAACCCCAGAAACGGGGCGCUCUUCGGAGCCUGCACAGGUGGUGCAUGGCUGUCGU